This 522-nucleotide ribosomal RNA is filed under the name uncultured bacterium. RNAcentral's name for it is "bacterial SSU rRNA". It matches the Rfam family "Bacterial small subunit ribosomal RNA", at positions 8 to 518 of the family's 1533-position model. The record is from RNAcentral.
AGAGUUUGAUUCUGGCUCAGGAUGAACGCUAGCUACAGGCUUAACACAUGCAAGUCGAGGGCAGCAUAUUGGUAGCUUGCUACUAAUGAUGGCGACCGGCGCACGGGUGAGUAACGCGUAUCCAACCUUCCCUAUACUAGAGGAUAGCCCGGCGAAAGUCGGAUUAAUACUCUAUGUUCUUCGUAGAUGACAUCUGAAAUGAAGCAAAGGUUUUACCGGUAUAGGAUGGGGAUGCGUCUGAUUAGGUUGUUGGCGGGGUAACGGCCCACCAAGCCUACGAUCAGUAGGGGUUCUGAGAGGAAGGUCCCCCACAUUGGUACUGAGACGCGGACCAAACUCCUACGGGAGGCAGCAGUGAGGAAUAUUGGUCAAUGGGCGAGAGCCUGAACCAGCCAAGUAAGCGUGCAGGAUGACGGCCCUAUGGGUUGUAAACUGCUUUUGUACGGGAAUAAAGUGCGGGACGUGUCCCGUUUUGUAUGUACCGUAAGAAUAAGGACCGGCUAAUUCCGUGCCAGCCGCAGC